AGCUUCUUUACAGUGCUGCCUUGUAGCAUCCAGAUCAAGCAGCAUUGUACAGGGCUAUGA
This 60-nucleotide microRNA precursor is filed under the name Scyliorhinus torazame (cloudy catshark). Its description in RNAcentral is "Sto-Mir-103-P2_pre stem-loop". It matches the Rfam family "mir-103/107 microRNA precursor family", at positions 11 to 70 of the family's 78-position model. Rfam says of the family: This family consists of the mammalian microRNA (miRNA) precursors mir-103 and mir107. Animal miRNAs are transcribed as ~70nt precursors and subsequently processed by the Dicer enzyme to give a ~22nt product. In this case the mature sequence comes from the 3' arm of the precursor. Lineage: Eukaryota; Metazoa; Chordata; Chondrichthyes; Carcharhiniformes; Scyliorhinidae. The record is from RNAcentral.